CCACAUCACCCUUCACCUUGGGACCUUUCAGAUGCAAAUCAAAGUCAGGCAUGGAGAUCUUGGGGGCUUUGAUGUUCAUCUCUGGCAUCUUGAAUUUAGGGCCCUUCAGUUUCGCAUCUGGACCUUCAAUAUUCACAUCUGGAACAUCAACGUCCACCUUGGGUCCUGAGACGUCAAGGUCAGCCUUGGGCAGGUUCACAUCCACAUCUGGGCCCUCUCCUUUGAAGCCAGGCAUGCUGAACUUGGGCAUUUUCACCUUGGGCAUCUUCAGGUGCCAGUCUGGGCCUUGAACAUCCACAUCUGGGGCAUUAAUAUCCACUUUGGGGCCUUUAAUAUCCACGUCAGGAACUUUCAUGUCACCUUCCACUUUUGGCAGAGACACAUCCAUGUCACCCUUCACUUUGGGACCUUUCAGAUGCAAAUCAAAGUCAGGCAUGGGGAUCUUGGGGGCUUUGAUAUUCAUCUCUGGCAUCUUGAACUUGGGCCCUUUCAACUUUCCCUCUGGUCCUUCAAUGUUAACAUCAGGGCCUUCAACGUCCACUUUGGGGCCUGAGACAUCAACGUCAGCCUUGGGCAGGUUCACAUCCACUUCAGGGCCCUCUGCUUUGAAGCCAGGCAUGCUGAACUUGGGCAUUUUCAUCUUGGGCAUCUUCAGGUGCCAGUCUGGGCCAUGAACAUCCACAUCUGGGGCAUCAAUGUCCACUUUGGGCCCUCUGAUGUCAACAUCUGGCACUUUCAUUUCACCUUCUACCUUGGGAACAGACACAUCCAUAUCCCCUUUGACUUUGGGGCCUUUCAAGUGUAAGUCCACAUCAGGCAUGGAGAUCUUGGGGGCCUUGAAGUGCAUCUCAGGCAUCUUAAACUUGGGCCCUUUCAACUUUGCAUCAGGACACUCCAGAUCAACAUCGGGCAUGGAGAUCUUGGGGGCCUUGAA
RNAcentral lists this long non-coding RNA (934 nucleotides) under Homo sapiens (human). RNAcentral describes it as "HSALNT0176106". Lineage: Eukaryota; Metazoa; Chordata; Mammalia; Primates; Hominidae. The record is from RNAcentral.